This 450-nucleotide ribosomal RNA is filed under the name uncultured bacterium. RNAcentral describes it as "bacterial SSU rRNA". It matches the Rfam family "Bacterial small subunit ribosomal RNA", at positions 354 to 796 of the family's 1533-position model. The record is from RNAcentral.
GUAGGGAAUCUUCCGCAAUGGGCGAAAGCCUGACGGAGCAACGCCGCGUGAGUGAGGAAGGUCUUCGGAUCGUAAAGCUCUGUUGCCAAGGAAGAACGGCCCGGAGAGUCACUGCUCCGGGAGUGACGGUACUUGAGAAGAAAGCCCCGGCUAACUACGUGCCAGCAGCCGCGGUAAUACGUAGGGGGCAAGCGUUGUCCGGAAUUAUUGGGCGUAAAGCGCGCGCAGGCGGUCUGUUAAGUCUUGUGUUUAAGCCCGGGGCUCAACCCCGGUUCGCAUGGGAAACUGGCAGUACUUGAGUGCAGGAGAGGAAAGCGGAAUUCCACGUGUAGCGGUGAAAUGCGUAGAGAUGUGGAGGAACACCAGUGGCGAAGGCGGCUUUCUGGACUGUAACUGACGCUGAGGCGCGAAAGCGUGGGGAGCAAACAGGAUUAGAAACCCCAGUAGUCC